AAUAUCAACUAAAGCACAUCAAUCAUCAGCAGCAUCAGUAGGUAAAAAACAUUGUGUCGAAUAAACCCAACAUAACCAUCAGCAACGAACAAAAUAUGUGGCGGAGAACACCAAUCCGCAAUCCAAAAUAUCAUAUUAGCAACAGCAACAGCAACAGCAUAAGCUCUUCCCAAGGAAAGCAGGUAGUAAUAAUCUUCACAAAGAAGACAAAAUAAAAGUGCAAAUAUCGAUGCACUUAUGAGCCCAAAUAGAGGUCAUAGACAAAAUUGCAGCAUGGGUCACUGCAAACCACUGGUAAAAGUGCAGUAUAGGUUACUAUGAACCAAUAACAGCAUCAGAUUGUUGGAUACCAAAUAACUCAGCAGCAAGUUGCUAGGAACCACUCAGCAUAAUGUUGUUGUAAACCACUCAGCAUAAGGUUGUUGUAAACCAAAUAAAUUGCGUUGUAGAUGAAUACCAUCUUCAUAGAUAAAAUUGUUGCUGAAGACACGAGCAGAU
This is a long non-coding RNA of Telopea speciosissima, 498 nucleotides long. RefSeq lists it as uncharacterized. The transcript is spliced from 2 exons. The record is from RefSeq and is a predicted model, not a curated record. Lineage: Eukaryota; Viridiplantae; Streptophyta; Magnoliopsida; Proteales; Proteaceae.